GUCUACAUUCACCACGUACUGGGGUCACCUGCCUCUGAAGAAGAAGGCUUAGGGCACGGAGGUCAGCAGGCAGGUCCCUCCUUCCUGUCCUUCCUAGAGCCUCUAGAAUCUGUUCUCCACAUCUGAGAAUCUUUCCUGUGUUCCUCGUCAUCGCUGCUUCUGGAGAGCACGAGCAGGCGAGUGGGCCAGAUCAACUCUGCAGGGCUCCUUUCCUCGCGUCUAUGUGUCUGAAGUCAGAAUCCAAGAGAAUCACGCCUCCCCGCCACUUUCCAGACUGAACCAUUGACACAUAUGAGCAGAGCCCCUGGGUGUUGAUGGGGAGAAGAUGAAGCUUUGGUUGGGGAGAAAUGGAUAUCUGAAAUCGAUUGAGACAGAGAGCAGAGGAAGAGCUGUGGUUGGCCUGAACAGUCUUGAGUGUUGUUCAAAUGUUGCCAGCGGGUGUGAGCUGACACUUCUAGGAAUUCCACUGGCCGAGGAUCCCAGAGCACAGGAAGUUUUGAGAGUCAGAAUUUACUGACAUUGCCUGGUCAAAACUGAACACGAAUCUUCAUGCCUUGAGAUGCAGCAAUGGAAAAUCAAUCUGAGUGUCAUCCCCUCAGAGGAUAUCCCCUGAAGAUGGCUGGAAACGGUGGAUUUGUCACCCAACUUUCUUCCCUUCACUGAUCAAUUGGAAUUUCUUCCACGGGCCUGAGCCCCAGUGUUAUCUCACUGUCUGAAUCCAGGCAGGCCUUGCACUGACUUGCCAAGUAUCCAUCACUUUGUCUUCCUGUCAUUGGCUGAUCUGAUCUCUGCA
This 793-nucleotide long non-coding RNA is filed under the name Bos mutus (wild yak). RNAcentral's name for it is "lncRNA (ENSBMUG00000018016.1)". Lineage: Eukaryota; Metazoa; Chordata; Mammalia; Artiodactyla; Bovidae. The record is from RNAcentral.